RNAcentral lists this long non-coding RNA (214 nucleotides) under Monodelphis domestica (gray short-tailed opossum). RNAcentral's name for it is "lncRNA (ENSMODG00000044828.1)". The record is from RNAcentral. Lineage: Eukaryota; Metazoa; Chordata; Mammalia; Didelphimorphia; Didelphidae.
UGUGACCAGCAGGAAGAUAGGGGUAACAAGGUCACAGAGGAAAAAAAAAGUGAAGGCAGGCGUGGCUCUUCAGAACACGUAACUCCCAGUGUCAAAGACAUGUGUUGAUCUUCUCUGAUCUGCAAGUCAAAGGCUGGUUCUGGUAACCCAGGAAAACAAAGAUUAUGAAGCUACCAAUGAUUCCAACUGGCCCUUGCUAGGCAUCACUGAGGCC